Drosophila montana is the source of this 299-nucleotide long non-coding RNA. RefSeq lists it as uncharacterized. The record is from RefSeq and is a predicted model, not a curated record. The transcript is spliced from 2 exons. NCBI's taxonomy places the organism in Eukaryota, Metazoa, Arthropoda, Insecta, Diptera, Drosophilidae.
AUCGUCAUUCGUUGGAUAAGCUCAACUAAAUUUUCCAAAUCUUCCUUAGUGUACACUGUACUAGAUAAAUAUGUACGUAUUGACUCAUUCGAUUCUCGGUUGCCUGUUGUAUGUCCUAAGAAUUAUAACUAUACAUCGGCGUUUUCAAAUUGGGGCUCGUUUUCUUCAGCUGCACCAGAAGAUGCCAUUUUAGGAUAUUUGCAAAUAUUUUCUUUUGGAUCUAAAGAGAAUAAACUUGAGCAUAUGAGUUAUUUUAUGAAACAGUCAGCUUAAAAUAAAAUAAAGCGCCUCCUUAGUUA